GUCUAUGGCCAUACCACCCUGAACAUGCUUGAUCUGGGAAGCUAAGCAGACUUGGGCCUGGUUAGUAUUUGGAUGGGAGACAGUUAAGUGCCAAGCUAGAUC
This 102-nucleotide ribosomal RNA is filed under the name Fukomys damarensis (Damara mole-rat). The record is from RNAcentral. Lineage: Eukaryota; Metazoa; Chordata; Mammalia; Rodentia; Bathyergidae.